CAAUAGCGUAUAUUAAAGUUGUUGCAGUUAAAAAGCUCGUAGUUGGAUUUCGGGGCAGCCUGGCUGGUCCGCCGCAAGGCGAGUACUGGUCAGCCGCCCUUCCUCUCGAAAGCCCCGACUGCUCUUCGUUGCAGUGGUCGGGUAGUUCGGGACGUUUACUUUGAAAAAAUUAGAGUGUUCAAGGCAGGCCUACGCCUGAAUACAUUAGCAUGGAAUAAUGGAAGAGGACCUCGGUCCUAUUUUGUUGGUUUCCAGGGCCGAAGUAAUGAUUAAGAGGGACAGUUGGGGGCAUUCGUAUUUCAUUGUCAGAGGUGAAAUUCUUGGAUUUAUGAAAGACGAACUACUGCGAAAGCAUUUGCCAAGGAUGUUUUCAUUAA
Molecule: ribosomal RNA, 377 nt
Filed under: uncultured eukaryote
Lineage: Eukaryota
Description: partial 18S ribosomal RNA
Rfam family: Eukaryotic small subunit ribosomal RNA
Source: RNAcentral